Lethenteron reissneri (Far Eastern brook lamprey) is the source of this 687-nucleotide long non-coding RNA. RefSeq lists it as uncharacterized. The record is from RefSeq and is a predicted model, not a curated record. NCBI's taxonomy places the organism in Eukaryota, Metazoa, Chordata, Hyperoartia, Petromyzontiformes, Petromyzontidae.
AAAAGGUGAACGACGUGUGGCUGUGUUCGAAGAAGUCGGCAGAGUGGGGAGCACCCAGAAUGUGCAUCUGCCAGUCAUCUCGGUCUGUCCCGUGACAUCCUGCCAGCUGGCCUUUGACACUUCACAUGCCCUCAAGGGCCGGGUAGACACGAGGUCACUUUAAGGGAGCCCAGGAGCAGAUCGUCCGUGGACCGCUCUCGAGCAGGAGGGCUAUCGGACUGCCCCGCCAGUCGCUAACACAGAAUGCGGCCGCGUGAAACAAGGAAACGCACGCACACAGCGGAGAGACCAACACCACAAGCAAGCGGCGGCGGUGGAGUUAUCCGCUGGGCUCACUGGAUUGUGCCUUUUCUAGCUGGGCGAGAUCACAGCCUGGGGCGCGGCACGAGGUGACUCAACGAAGGGGGGGCAAUGGAUGGGAGGCUCAACUUGCCCUGCUUUUGCCUUUAUAUGGCAAUGGUACGAGUUGCACUCCUCCCUUUUCCUCUGUGGCAAAAAGCACGCGUUUCUCUACGGCUGCUGCUGCAGCAGCUCGAGCUACAACACAACCAUCCAUGCGGCGGUGGUGAUGAUUGUGAACGAGAGAGAGAGGUCAGAGUGCUCCUCCGCACGUCUGUUGAAUGACGAAAUGUUGAGCAGUGGUCAUCCCUGCCGGCAACCCAACAAGGGACAGACCACGAAGUUCCA